UACGGAGGGUGCAAGCGUUAUCCGGAUUCACUGGGUUUAAAGGGUGCGUAGGAGGGCAGGUAAGUCAGUGGUGAAAUCUCCAAGCUUAACUUGGAAACUGCCGUUGAUACUAUCUGUCUUGAAUACCGUGGAGGUGAGCGGAAUAUGUCAUGUAGCGGUGAAAUGCGCAGAUAUCGGGAGGAACACCAAUUGCGAAGGCAGCUCGCUGGGACGUCACUGACGCUGAGACGCGAAAGCGUGGGGAGCAAACAGG
RNAcentral lists this ribosomal RNA (253 nucleotides) under uncultured bacterium. RNAcentral's name for it is "partial 16S ribosomal RNA". It matches the Rfam family "Bacterial small subunit ribosomal RNA", at positions 524 to 776 of the family's 1533-position model. The record is from RNAcentral.